This 253-nucleotide ribosomal RNA is filed under the name uncultured bacterium. Its description in RNAcentral is "partial 16S ribosomal RNA". It matches the Rfam family "Bacterial small subunit ribosomal RNA", at positions 524 to 776 of the family's 1533-position model. The record is from RNAcentral.
UACGUAGGCAGCAAGCGUUGUUCGGAAUUACUGGGCGUAAAGAGUGUGUAGGUGGUUGGGUAAGUUUGGUGUGAAAUCUCCCGGCUCAACUGGGAGGGUGCGCUAAAGACUGCCUGGCUUGAGUGCGGGAGAGGGAAGCGGAAUGCCUGGUGUAGCGGUGAAAUGCGUAGAUAUCAGGCGGAACACCGGCGGUGUAGACGGCUUCCUGGACCGCAACUGACACUGAGACACGAAAGCGUGGGUAGCAAACAGG